UUUUGCGUAGAAGAAGAAGAAGGAGAAGAUCCGCCAUUGUUAGCUCUGUUUUGAGAUUUACAGUUUUUCAACAUUUGUGGAGCAGAGGUGCACCAUGGCUUGCCACAAUGUCACAAUGGGUUCUUGGAGAGCCGCUGCUGUUGACUUGCUGCAUGUCUCCUCUCUGCGGCAAAACUCACAAAUACUCCACUCACCAAGUUCCAGAGGGAGAGGAUCACCAGCCACCA
RNAcentral lists this long non-coding RNA (227 nucleotides) under Portunus trituberculatus (swimming crab). Its description in RNAcentral is "uncharacterized LOC123502330". Lineage: Eukaryota; Metazoa; Arthropoda; Malacostraca; Decapoda; Portunidae. The record is from RNAcentral.